Molecule: ribosomal RNA, 1821 nt
Filed under: Triticum aestivum (bread wheat)
Lineage: Eukaryota; Viridiplantae; Streptophyta; Magnoliopsida; Poales; Poaceae
Description: partial small subunit ribosomal RNA
Source: RNAcentral
AUGGUGUCUUCGGGUGCCUUCUUGUUUCCAGGCCUCUAUCGAUUUCUCUGCCUCUUCUUGGGUUUCUUCUGCAGCCUACCAUUACUAGGCAUCUGCGAUGAAUCAGAGAGCGACAGGCAAGCCCUCCUCUGCUUCAAGUCCGGGAUCUCGGCACCCGCCGGAGUCCUAUCUUCAUGGAGCAACGCGUCCAUGGAAUUCUGUGACUGGCACGGGAUCACUUGCAGCGUGACACCACCCAGGCGUGUCGUUGCACUGGACCUUGAAUCCCAAGGCAUCUCGGGCUCCAUAGCGCCUUGCAUCACCAACCUCACUUGGCUGGCAAGGCUCCAGCUGUCAAACAACAGCUUCAGUGAUGGCCUGCCGUCGGAGCUUGGCCUCCUGAGCCGGCUCACCAACCUCAACCUCAGCAUCAACGCUUUGGAAGGUAACAUCCCGCCUGAACUCUCUGCGUGUUCCCAGCUCCAAAUCGUGGGCUUGUGGAACAAUUCCCUCCAUGGAGAGAUCCCACCCACGCUCGGCCAAUGCAAGUGCCUUCAAGAGAUUAACCUUAGCAAUAACAAGCUCCAGGGAAGUGUCCCUCCUGCUUUUGGAGACCUUCCUGAGCUGCGCAUACUAGUCCUCGCCAGCAACACACUUACCGGCAACAUACCGCCGUCUUUGGGCAGCAGCCGCCAUCUCACAUAUGUUGAUCUUGGGAUCAAUGCUCUCGGAGGGGUCAUACCGGAGUCCUUGGCAAAUAGUUCAUCUCUUCAAGUACUUAGGCUCAUGAAGAAUAAUCUUACUGGAGAACUCCCAAAGGCUCUCCUCAACACUUUGUCACUUGUUACCAUUUGCCUCGAAAAGAACAGUUUUGUUGGUUCGAUACCUUCUGUCACUGUCACAUCUUCCCCUAUUAAGCACCUCUCUUUAAGGUUUAACAAUCUUUCAGGAGGAAUACCUUCCUCGCUAGGGAACCUUUCGUCCCUAGUUCAUCUUCUUCUUACAGACAAUCAUUUAGUUGGGAGCAUCCCAGAGAGCUUAGGUUAUGUUCCAACACUAGGGGUAUUGACCUUGACUAUGAACAACUUAUCUGGGCCGGUUCCACCGUCUAUCUUCAACAUGUCAUCCCUGAAAAGUCUCGCCAUAGCAAAAAACUCACUUGUCGGCAGAUUACCCUUUGAUGUCGGCUACACCCUCCCAAAAAUCCAGGACUUAAUACUCACAGAAAACAGUUUCGAUGGACCAAUCCCAGCCUCUCUUCUCAAAGCUUACCACCUACGCUGGCUUUACCUGAUUAAUAAUAGCUUCACUGGAUCCAUACCAUUUUUCGGCUCAUUGCCAAAUUUGGAGGAACUCGAUUUGGCACACAACAAGUUAGAAGCAGGUGAUUGGGGCUUUGUCUCUUCACUAUCUAAUUGCUCCAGGUUGACCAUGCUGGCCCUGGAUGGGAACAAUCUCAAAGGGAAACUGCCAAGUUCUAUUGGCAAUCUUUCAAAUAGUCUGGAGUGGUUGUUUCUAAGUAGCAACAAAAUUUCUGGACCUAUUCCACCGGAGAUUGGCAACCUUACGAGCCUCAAUAGCUUGUACAUGAAUUACAAUCUUCUUGCCGGUAAUAUACCACCAACAAUUGGGAAAUUGCACAACUUGGUAUAUCUAUCCUUUGCACAAAACAGGCUUUCAGGUCAGAUUCCAGAUACCAUUGGCAAUCUUGUCCAGCUGAGUGUACUUGAAUUGGAUCAUAACAGUGUCGAUGGAAGAAUACCAGCAAGCAUAGCACGAUGCACUCGACUCACCGAACUAAUCCUUGCUUACAACUCACUAGAUGGGCGUCUACCAAGUUAA